GACGAACGCUGGCGGCGUGCUUAACACAUGCAAGUCGAACGGAAAGGCCCUGCUUUUGUGGGGUGCUCGAGUGGCGAACGGGUGAGUAACACGUGAGUAACCUGCCCUUGACUUUGGGAUAACUUCAGGAAACUGGGGCUAAUACCGGAUAGGAGCUCCUGCUGCAUGGUGGGGGUUGGAAAGUUUCGGCGGUUGGGGAUGGACUCGCGGCUUAUCAGCUUGUUGGUGGGGUAGUGGCUUACCAAGGCUUUGACGGGUAGCCGGCCUGAGAGGGUGACCGGCCAAAUUGGGACUGAGGUACGGCCCAGACUCCUACGGGAGGCAGCAGGGGGGAAUAUUGCACAAUGGGCGGAAGCCUGAUGCAGCAACGCCGCGUGCGGGAUGACGGCCUUCGGGUUGUAAACCGCUUUCGCCUGUGACGAAGCGUGAGUGACGGUAAUGGGUAAAGAAGCACCGGCUAACUACGUG
This 468-nucleotide ribosomal RNA is filed under the name uncultured bacterium. RNAcentral's name for it is "partial 16S ribosomal RNA". It matches the Rfam family "Bacterial small subunit ribosomal RNA", at positions 28 to 507 of the family's 1533-position model. The record is from RNAcentral.